UAUACAUGAAAAAGAGGGAAACAAAUAAUUCAAAUCAAUCCAAACAUAUUCGCCAAAUUCCCGUUUCUCCGCGAUCACCCGAACAUUCUUCGAAAGAUUUAUGCAAAAAUCUGAUUCGCUGUCGUUGUUGUUCAUCUCUAACUGCGACUAUCCACGUCAAUAAUCCUCAUUUAGUUUGAUACUCAUUGUUUUUUUUUCUGUAAUUGAUCCCUAGACUGAGGACGAGUUUGUCUGAGUUGUGAUUGUGUGCGUGGAUCUUAAUCAUUGAAUUUCGUAUUAUUUGCAGAUAGGAUGAGUAAUGUUGGUCAGUUGCCGAUGCCUAAUAAUCUUCACUCUGGAGGAGUUCCGAAGAGUAAAUUGAAGCGGAAAACUCCCUCGGAGUUGAGGGGGGAACUACUGAAGAAAAAGAAUUUACUGGAGGGUUCAAAUGAUUCCGGAACCUCUACUAGUUCCAUGUGGUGGAUGCAUUCCCUAUUUUUCUUUUAUUACCAUAGAUACCUUGAAGUCAUUUCUUUCUUUCUUCAGGAAUGCUGAUGGAGCAGUUUCUGAGAGCAACAAAUCUGAUCCAUUAAAAGCGUUGCGAUUGAGAACAUUGGAUGAACACUUUCCCGUCACUAAAUCGAGUAGGCUAUUUUGCAGAAAGGAAAUUCUCAAGGUUACAAAAUUUUGGUCUAGGAAAAUAUUCCUAGAAAGUGUGUUGGAAGCAUGAAGAAUUCAAGUCACUUCAGAUUCAAAUGAUAAACAUGAAGUGCAGAACUCAUGUUUGGAGGGCACUGUUGCUUCAGAAGAUGGCAAUGACACUUCAAGACAAAUUAACAACUCAUCCGACAAAUGUAUUACUAAUACUUUUAAGAGUGUUCGAGAUUUAUCCUUUGGGGGUGGGAUGAUAUACAACUCCACUUUAGUAGACAUGAUUGGAGUUGAUAAUACCCCACAAUCUUUGUUAAUGUUUGCUGGGAGGAAUGUCCAUUCUUUGUAUGAUUUUUUGUUAAAUUAUAGAUCCCUUUACACUCCUUUGAGUAGUGAUGUACCUGUUCUAUAUUCCCCAGUUCCUUUUGAAAAUGCUGCACUGUGUGCUCCUGAGGUCAGAUGCAAACAGGUUAGAAGGGUUGAGCACAUGUCUUCUCAGGUAAAGGACUCUAAUAUGUAUAGUGAACCCAUGAGAAGUUCAUCUCCAGGCAUUUGCUAUAAUAUUGAAAUUAGGGAUGCAUAAAUACCGCCUUGGGUAAUUUCUGGAGUUUGCGAUACUUUGCACGCUAAUGGGGGCGACUUUCAAUCCAGUUUCGUGACGGAGUCCACAUCUAUUGGCUUGAAUGUUGGUCUAGACGCAGCGAAUAACCAACCUCCCCAGCAAGCCGAGGCAGGUAUGCAAAUCGAAGAGAAUGAAUUUUCUUUUGGCAUUCCGAACACCACUCUUUCCCUUCAAAGACAUUCUGCCUUUUUAAAAGGACUGAAGUAUGGUGAUACUUAUUACACAGCCUUGCUAUCACCGAUUGAUCAAGCUCUUUCAUAUCUGAGUAUGGAAUUGCUUGUUUGUAGAUUCUGGUCAAUCACAUUUUGUUUUCGAUUUCUCGGAGAAACACUUCACUUUUUUCAGUGUUAACCUA
This is a long non-coding RNA of Salvia splendens (bonfire salvia), 1607 nucleotides long. RefSeq lists it as uncharacterized. Lineage: Eukaryota; Viridiplantae; Streptophyta; Magnoliopsida; Lamiales; Lamiaceae. The transcript is spliced from 7 exons. The record is from RefSeq and is a predicted model, not a curated record.